RNAcentral lists this ribosomal RNA (981 nucleotides) under human gut metagenome. Its description in RNAcentral is "bacterial LSU rRNA". It matches the Rfam family "Bacterial large subunit ribosomal RNA", at positions 1946 to 2925 of the family's 2925-position model. The record is from RNAcentral.
CGGUCCUAAGGUAGCGAAAUUCCUUGUCGGGUAAGUUCCGACCUGCACGAAUGGCGUAACGACUUCCCCACUGUCUCGACCAGGAGCUCGGCGAAAUUGCAGUACGAGUAAAGAUGCUCGUUAAGCGCAGAAGGACGAAAAGACCCCGGGACCUUUACUAUACCUUGGUAUUGGCGUUAGGCGCGGAUUGUGUAGCAUAGGCGGGAGGCUUCGAAGCGCGGGCGCCAGCCCGUGUGGAGCCGCAAGGUGAAAUACCGCUCUGUUCUCGUUUGACGUCUAACCUCGAACAGUCAUCCUGUUCAGGGACAGUGCCUGGCGGGUAGUUCAACUGGGGCGGUUGCCUCCCAAAGAGUAACGGAGGCGCUCAAAGGUCCGCUCAGCCCGGUUGGCAAUCGGGUGUCGAGUGUAAUCGCACAAGCGGGCUUGACUGCGAGGACGACGGUCCGAGCAGGGACGAAAGUCGGAGAUAGUGAUCCGGUGCCGGCGCACGGGCGCGGCAUCGCUCAACGGAUAAAAGGUACCCCGGGGAUAACAGGCUGAUCAUUCCCAAGAGUCCAUAUCGACGGGAUGGUUUGGCACCUCGAUGUCGGCUCGUCGCAUCCUGGGGCUGGAGCAGGUCCCAAGGGUUCGGCUGUUCGCCGAUUAAAGCGGCACGCGAGCUGGGUUCAGAACGUCGUGAGACAGUUUGGUCUCUAUCCUCUGCGCUCGUUGGAAUCCUGAGGAGGCCUGCCCAUAGUACGAGAGGACCUGGGUGGACGAACCUCUGGUAUGCCGGUUGUCGCGCCAGCGGCACGGCCGGUUGGCUACGUUCGGGAGGGAUAACCGCUGAAAGCAUCUAAGCGGGAAGCCUGCUCCAAGAUUAGGAUUCCUUGGCACUUCGGUGUCUGUAGCCCGCAUGUUGAACACGUGUUUGAUAGGCCGGAGGUGGAAGUCCCGUGAGGGGUGGAGCCGACCGGUACUAACGGGCGAUGGCGACACAAC